UGGUAAGCAGAACUGGCGAUGAGGGAUGAACCUAACGUCGGGCUAAGGUGCUUAAUUGCACGCUCAUCAGAUACCACAAAGGGUGUUGGUUCAUUUUGACAGCAGGACGGUGGUCAUGGAAGUCGAAAUCCGCUAAGGAGUGUGUAACAACUCACCUGCCGAAUCAACUAGCCCCGAAAAUGGAUGGCGCUUAAGCGGGUGACCGAUACCCAACCAUUGUUGCAAAUAUGUUGCAUCAAUGAGUAGGAGGGCAUGGGGGCUUGUGAUGAAGCUUUUGGCGUAAGCCUGGGUGAAACAGCUCCUAGUGCAGAUCUUGGUGGUAGUAGCAAAUACUCGAUAGAGGACCUGGAGGACUGAUGUGGAGAAGGGUUUCGUGUGAACAGCAGUUGCACUCGAGUCAGUCGAUCCUAAGCACUAGGGGAAACCCGAU
RNAcentral lists this ribosomal RNA (430 nucleotides) under Aurantiochytrium limacinum. Its description in RNAcentral is "partial Eukaryotic large subunit ribosomal RNA". It matches the Rfam family "Eukaryotic large subunit ribosomal RNA", at positions 1138 to 1567 of the family's 3401-position model. Lineage: Eukaryota; Bigyra; Thraustochytrida; Thraustochytriidae. The record is from RNAcentral.